This 512-nucleotide ribosomal RNA is filed under the name Drosophila apicipuncta. RNAcentral's name for it is "partial 16S ribosomal RNA". It matches the Rfam family "Bacterial large subunit ribosomal RNA", at positions 1825 to 2597 of the family's 2925-position model. The record is from RNAcentral. Lineage: Eukaryota; Metazoa; Arthropoda; Insecta; Diptera; Drosophilidae.
GUCUUUUUGAAUUAAAUUUAAAGUCUAACCUGCCCACUGAGAAUUUUUAAAUGGCCGCAGUAUUUUAACUGUGCAAAGGUAGCAUAAUCAUUAGUCUUUUAAUUGAGGGCUGGAAUGAAUGGUUGGACGAGAUAUUAACUGUUUCAUUUAAAUUUUUUAUAGAAUUUUAUUUUUUAGUCAAAAAGCUAAAAUAAAAUUAAAAGACGAGAAGACCCUAUAAAUCUUUAUAUUUUAUUUUAUUUUAAUUAUAAAGAUUAAUUUUAUUAUAAUAAAAUAAAAUAUUUUAUUGGGGUGAUAUUAAAAUUUAAAGAACUUUUAAUUUAAAAAACCAUUGAUUUAUGAAUAAUUGAUCCAUUAGUAGUGAUUAAAAAUUUAAGUUACUUUAGGGAUAACAGCGUAAUUUUUUUGGAGAGUUCAUAUCGAUAAAAAAGAUUGCGACCUCGAUGUUGGAUUAAGAUAUAAUUUUGGGUGUAGCCGUUCAAAUUUUAAGUCUGUUCGACUUUUAAAUUCUU